Gavialis gangeticus (Gharial) is the source of this 4130-nucleotide long non-coding RNA. RefSeq lists it as uncharacterized. NCBI's taxonomy places the organism in Eukaryota, Metazoa, Chordata, Crocodylia, Gavialidae. The record is from RefSeq and is a predicted model, not a curated record. The transcript has 3 exons.
CCUUUUGAAGGACCUGGCCCUAAUGUUUCAAGUGUAUAUUAAAACCUUCUACUCAAUCUUUUAAAGUUUGCUUUUCUUAGCUUCCUCCUUAAUCUUCUCCGUGUUAUUCCCCCCCUUAAUAGUCUGAAGUUCUAUAAUACAGUUUUUUAUUGUUAUUAUUCAUUCCAGCUUAACCUUAGACCUCUCAGCUGGUGUUAGAUUGUAAUCCUGGUACUUAAAUCUUUUACAGCUUUGGAAGUGAGCAAUGAUCUGAAAUUUGAGCCUUACAGCGGGCUGAGGAAGGGUUCUUUCUUUCUCUCUUAAGAGAAUUUGAAGUACAAAAUUAGAAGGAAAAAAAGAAGCUAAUUAGAGCUGACCAAUGGCUUAAUUUAUUGUACAGUAUCUGUUACUCCCAGUCUCUUUCUUGGUCUCACUUGGACUGGGAAAUAGAUGUGAUCUCAAGGAGAUUUUAGUUUGGUUUGUUGCAUGUCUUUCUUUUCAUUACUAAAAAUACAAAGAUGACUCACAGGGAGGCCCUGCCAUCAGCUGCAGCUAUGCAGGACAGCAACAGAGAUCAACAGCUGGAUAAAAGAUGUGUAUGAUGCCUUGUCUUGUGCCCCAUCUCUUUUUUCCUUGAGCUGAAGGACUGGACUAUUCUUCUGUCCUAACUGGUAGAAGCAAAUGAUCCCAGAGUUGCCAGUAAUUGAAUACUUCCCAGAUUUGAUCCAAAGCCCAGAAAGACUCCCACUGAGUUCAGUGAGUUUAGAAUUGCAGGUGAGGUUUUGAAAGGGGCUUGGAGACUCAAAUCUUAUUGACAGUCAGUGGGAGCUGGACAAUGAAAUCUUGCAGGCACGUUUCAAACUCCUGUGCUCAGUACACAAACUGGGUUCUGGACCUUUGAAUGGGAUGGGUGGUAUAACUUUGAUCAGAGAGAGCUACAAGGAUGGUAGAAAGUAGAUGUCUUUGUCCAGACAUGGAUCUGGUAAUGAAGCAGGAAGUUCAUUAGGAAAAUCUACCCAUUUGUUAGGGGCACAGGAGGGCAGCAACAUGGCUAGAUGGCACCUUUAGGUAUCCUCUCUGCUUCCAUUCCCUGCCCUCUUCACAUCUGAUUGAGUGUGAGGUGCUGAGCACCCGCAGCUCCCAUGGGCUCAUAGGCAAGAACAGAAUCACAGCAAUGACCCGGGAAGCCUCCACUGUGGUUGGUGAUUCCAGAUCCAUCCUAGCUUCCAGGUAAUUGGUUUGGCAGCGGGUCCUGCAAGCACAGCUUGUGACCUGAAGUUCUGGUUUUGUCCUUGCUGACUGUCACGACACCACCAGUUAUACAAAGUCUACCACGAAGCCUGCCUUGAAAGUCUUCGCCAUUGUGGAACUGCACCCAGGAUGCUCUGAAUCCAACUCAUUGCUGCUUACUCUGCACUGGCCCCUUGUUCAAAAUGAAAAAUUGUUGACCCUUUCUUAUCUGUUCCCACCUGUGGAGCUUCGUUCCUCUAGCGCCCAUGGGUUUUGGUGGCCUUUGAUGCAUGGCGACUGGUGCAGGUAUUUGGCCUAGCUUUUGACUUUGCACUGACCAAUUAGACUGUAACACUUCUGUAGAGCUGUAAAAUGUGUCUUGGCAGCAGUAAUGGUGCCUUUUCAGUGAUCCUUUUUUGGGUAGCUUUUGUAUCACUUAAUUCAAGGGAGUCUGACACAGAGAACAACAUCUGUGAAGUAGGAGCAUCACCUUUUUCCGUCAUUAUGUUCUGACCCAAAGCCACUCUUCUGAGUUCUGUCCCUUUUUGCUGUCUGGCUUUGGAAGAGGCUUUCUUGGUGGUAAGAGGCCAGAAGCUUCCUUGCCCACAGGCAGCAGGGUUGGUGCAGCAGUGAGACCAACUUCAUUCCAGAAAUAUUCAAAAUCCAGAUGAGAGUUGCAAAUGACCUCUGUCUCUAGACUUGACCAAUCCUCAGCUUAGCAUCCAAACAUAACUGAAUACGGGAGAUUUUAGUAUUAGAGCUGGAUAUACAUGGGGACUUAGGGUCUGCUGUACUUGGAGCAUUAGUUCAAUGCUCCCUUCCAGCCUGGGGUAAGGAUCCAGACUGAGUGCUCUGAACCUAGGCAACACCAGCUGUCGGCUGCUCUGCUUUCCUCAUGGCGGAGGCAGUCCUGCUAGAGAGCUCACCUCAAGUGCUCUAAGUCCAUUUGGAGGCCUGGGUCUCUGCAUAUUGUUGAGUCUGGAGGAACCACGGGGAAAGCCUUUGGGACAGGUCUGGAAAGCAGUGGGGAGUGUUGGCUUUGGCACCACUACGGGAUGUCUUUCUGCCACAAUCAAUUCCUGUGUAUUUCCAUGUUCCUCUUUAGGUGUCAGUCUCCCAACUGUGAAGUGCACCUUAUAGUUGCCUCGCUGUCGGGAUGCUAGACCUGCAAGAAGGGAGACAGAAGGUCUCCAGGCCAAGACUGACUUAUGCCCUCUUCCCACUCUUUUUCACAGACCUGCAAGGGAGCACAUACAUUUUGGUGGGCUAGCUUGGAAGCUGCUGGAUGCUGAUAUGGGGGGAGGGUAAGGGGGUGGAGGAAGAAUUGUGUGGCUUUCAUGCAGGCAUAGUAAGUUGUGCCACUGAGCAAGCAGUCAUUGUAGAGAUGCACUCUGCCUUAAAGAGCAAAUGAGCCAGGUCAUCAGACAGUGACAUUUUACAAUGUUGUCAUCUUCAGUGGAGCUGAAACAGUAGUGCCAAUUGUUUACCUAGAGGAAAAUUUGACCCAGUGUCUCUACAUCCCACCCUUUAUUUUUGUGUUUCAGUAAAUUCUGGCUUUUCCAUUACUAUAUCUAUUUAACUAGAUACCUACAUGAUGCCCAUCCUAGUUUUAUUCAAACCCUCUCUCCUCUCUUCCCCUCACUGCCCCUUCUCAGUAUGACUCUGGCUUCUGAGAACCAUAAUUUAGCUCUACAACAUCACUGCAUGUACAAGAGGCAACACUUGCAUAAAAGCUUUAUUUCUGCAUCAGGAGCGCAUGACCAUGAUAUCCAAAGUCAAAGUGGAGACUUCUACAAGUGUUGCUAGGAGCCUUGGAUGUGCUGUUUAGAAAUGAUUUGAGCCCUGGGAAAAUGAAACCACGUGCCAGAAUCCCAGCAAGUUGGGUUCUUGGAAGGGCUCUCUUUUCUACUCAGGCUUUGCUUCUGUAUAUUAGAAAUUCUGGCGUCAAAGGGAAUGUCUACAUGAGAUGUUUAAUGCGCAGAAGACUAAUUCUACUGCACAUUAGCAUGGGGGGCAAAGCCCGUGCUAAUGCACAGUAGAUUUAGUCUAAUAUGCAGUAGUGCCACAAAAAAUGUUCAUCUGUGCUAAUGUGCAGUAGUGCUGAUUAUAGUGCAUUAAGUUAAUACCUAUCAUUACAGGUUCUAAACUUAAUGCACCAUAAUUACAGCGCAUUAAUAAACAUAUAGACGCAUCCAAAGAGAUGUGGGUAAUGGUGUAGGCUCCAAAUUAGAGUUGAUUAAAAAUUAAUUUACAAAGCGUGAUAGGAAUCAGACUGUUUAUUUUUUAAGAAAAUCCGUUAUUUUUCAGUAAAUUCUCCAGCAAUGACUCAUAGACACCAAGCAAGCAGAGAAGGACCAGGAAAUGAAUUUAACCAGUCUAGUCUGGGGUGGCAUAAUAAGAAAACAGGUGACAGAUGAGGAGAAAAGUAAAUUAAGUUUUUAAAAUGUCCCUUGUUAGAACGUGGAAUGUAUUAUAACACUCACCUCCGUGGGCCUAAGGUAAAGGUGCUGGGAUGGGAGUCAGGAGUCCUGGGGCCCGAUUCUCCAGUGCCCUGCACUUUAAGUCAUUGGGUGCACUAGUACCAUUCUGAACUGGAGUAUUUUGCACUCACUUUACACUUGUGUCAGUGAAGACACAGGUCACAUUUCAUGCCACCUCUUAGGUGUGUAGAUGAUUGCAGGCACCUAGAUGCGAUUCUAUCCUACCCUCCUUGAGUCCUGAAAAAAAAGUUACUGCAAAUAGUAGGGUGGGUCUUUGAGUCGCAGAAAAGCAAUGAGAGGACAGUCUUAAGGGUCAGAUGACAGUGGUACAAAGUAGAAGCAUUCAUGGAUUUUUUAGGACAUGAGCAGGAUGGACUAGAACUGCACUUAGGUGCCUAAAUUGAAUUACACACCUCAGAAGUGGACCAGAAGCUGGCCAGG